Long non-coding RNA from Nomascus leucogenys (northern white-cheeked gibbon), 768 nucleotides. RefSeq lists it as uncharacterized. The record is from RefSeq and is a predicted model, not a curated record. The transcript has 2 exons. Lineage: Eukaryota; Metazoa; Chordata; Mammalia; Primates; Hylobatidae.
UUCCCUUCCUCAAAAGUGAAGUUAAGGUAUUUUUUAAGGUUUGAGGAUUCCGGGCCCGUUUCGCUUCCGGCUAGGGAAGGAAGCGUGUUUCCCGGGGCCCAAAUGAACAGGGAAAUUUACCAAGUAGGAAGUUGAGGACUAGUCCAGCCGCCAGGCCCUGCCUUUACUCAGCUGGCCUUCCAGUCUAGACCCCGACCUCCUGGGGCAGGGAAGGCAGGCAGACUGCAAGCAGCCACCCCGCCCAGCUCGCCCUGCCCGCCCGGGAGCUGAAGGGCCCAUCCCUCCCGCCAUCCACCCCCGAUGCCGACUCCGAGGAGCACAAACGGGGGGCGCUGCGGCAACCCGUCCGCCGUGGCGGCGGCACCCUCAGGCCCUCCCGUGAGAAGGCGGCGGCGGCGGCGGCUGCGGCGGCGGCGGCUGCAGCAACGGCGCGAGAGGAGCAGCUAUCAUUUUUGCCCUUUGUGGGAAGCACCAUGUGAGAUAUCCAACUACUCUGAAACUACCACACUGUGAAGUGUCUAAUCAAGCCACCUGGAGAGACCAAAUGGAAGAAAACUAAGGCCCCUGGCCAACAGCCCCAGCUGUGCUCCUACUGGCCAGUCAGCACCAGGCUGCCACGCAUGUGACUGAUACAGUCUUGGAAGUGAAUUUUCCAGCCCUACUCAAGCUACUGCAGCUGACACCACAUGGAACAGAGAUGAGCUUUUCUCCCCAGUGCCCAAAUAGCAGAAUUGUGGGAAAAUAAAUAAAACAGUUGUAUUAAGCCAC